This 500-nucleotide ribosomal RNA is filed under the name uncultured bacterium. Its description in RNAcentral is "bacterial SSU rRNA". It matches the Rfam family "Bacterial small subunit ribosomal RNA", at positions 28 to 537 of the family's 1533-position model. The record is from RNAcentral.
GAUGAACGUUGGCGGCGUGCCUAAUACAUGCAAGUCGAACGGAGAUUGUAGCAAUACGGUCUCAGUGGCGAACGGGUGAGUAACGCGUUGGUGACCUGCCCCGAAGUGUGGAAUAACAGAUCGAAAGAGCUGCUAAUACCGCAUAAUAUCCAGAAGACUAGACGCUUUUGGAUUAAAGGAUUUAUUCGCUUCGGGAGGGGCCUGCGUCCCAUCAGCUAGUUGGUAAGGUAAUGGCUUACCAAGGCUAUGACGGGUAGGGGACCUGAGAGGGUGGCCCCCCACAAUGGAACUGAAACACGGUCCAUACACCUACGGGUGGCAGCAGUAGGGAAGUAUUAGUAAUGGGCGGAAAGCCUGAACUAGCAACGCCGCGUGUGCGAAGAAGGCCUCGGUUGUAAGACACUUUAGUAGAGGAGUGAGGAAGGAACGGUACGUCUCAGAAUAAGUACUCGGCGUAACUACGUAGUCCGACGCGAGCCGCGGUAAAACGGUAGUGUGUA